Molecule: non-coding RNA, 227 nt
Organism: Pelobates cultripes (western spadefoot toad)
Lineage: Eukaryota; Metazoa; Chordata; Amphibia; Anura; Pelobatidae
Source: the annotation of a GenBank genome assembly
CUGGUCUUUGUCAGCAAAGUUUCUAAACGUUUUGAUGUGAUUUGAGAAACCAAUAAAGGGACUAAUGUUCACCAAAUGAGGAGCUCUGGGCUGGUUUUCUGUUUGCGGAUACUGAGCUGAAAAACAAUCUUCCGUUCUAGUUUCAGGAAGAGAAGAAAUAAUAUAGGUGCUUUAUCAAAGUUGUAACAUUUAGGUAAUCUACAUACAGGUAGUAUACAAAAUACUAC